RNAcentral lists this ribosomal RNA (868 nucleotides) under uncultured archaeon. Its description in RNAcentral is "bacterial SSU rRNA". It matches the Rfam family "Archaeal small subunit ribosomal RNA", at positions 1 to 878 of the family's 1478-position model. The record is from RNAcentral.
CUNCAGGUGAUCCCGCCGGACCCGACUGCUAUCAGAGUGGGACUAAGCCAUGCGAGUCAACAUAGCAAUAUGUGGCAUACGGCUCAGUAACACGUAGUCAACAUGCCCAGGGGACGUGGAUAACCUCGGGAAACUGAGGAUAAACCGCGAUAGGUCAUCACUUCUGGAAUGGGUAAUGACUUAAAUCUAUAUGGCCCCUGGAUUGGACUGCGGCCGAUCAGGCUGUUGGUGAGGUAAUGGCCCACCAAACCUGUAACCGGUACGGGCUCUGAGAGGAGGAGCCCGGAGAUGGGCACUGAGACAAGGGCCCAGGCCCUAUGGGGCGCAGCAGGCGCGAAACCUCUGCAAUAGGCGAAAGCUUGACAGGGUUACUCUGAGUGAUUUCCGUUAAGGAGAUCUUUUGGCACCUCUAAAAAUGGUGCAGAAUAAGGGGUGGGCAAGUCUGGUGUCAGCCGCCGCGGUAAUACCAGCACCCCGAGUGGUCGGGACGUUUAUUGGGCCUAAAGCAUCCGUAACCGGUUCUACAAGUCUUCCGUUAAAUCCACCUGCUUAACAGAUGGGCUGCGGAAGAUACUAUAGAGCUAGGAGGCGGGAGAGGCAAGCGGUACUCAGUGGGUAGGGGUAAAAUCCGUUGAUCCAUUGAAGACCACCAGUGGCGAAGGCGGCUUGCCAGAAUGCGCUCGACGGUGAGGGAUGAAAGCUGGGGGAGCAAACCGGAUUAGAUACCCGGGUAGUCCCAGCCGUAAACGAUGCAGACUCGGUGAUGGGUUGGCUUCGCGCUAACCCAGUGCCGCAGGGAAGCCGUUAAGUCUGCCGCCUGGGUAGUACGGUCGCAAGACUGAAACUUAAAGGAAUUGGCGGGGGAGCA